This 230-nucleotide ribosomal RNA is filed under the name uncultured bacterium. Its description in RNAcentral is "partial 16S ribosomal RNA". It matches the Rfam family "Bacterial small subunit ribosomal RNA", at positions 562 to 791 of the family's 1533-position model. The record is from RNAcentral.
AAAGCGUGCGCAGGCGGUUUUGUAAGACUGUCGUGAAAUCCCCGGGCUCAACCUGGGAAUGGCGAUGGUGACUGCAAGGCUAGAGUUUGGCAGAGGGGGGUAGAAUUCCACGUGUAGCAGUGAAAUGCGUAGAUAUGUGGAGGAACACCGAUGGCGAAGGCAGCCCCCUGGGUCAAAACUGACGCUCAUGCACGAAAGCGUGGGGAGCAAACAGGAUUAGAUACCUUGGU